AGAGUUUGAUCAUGGCUCAGGAUGAACGCUGGCGGUGUGCCUUAGGCAUGCAAGUCGAACGAUAAACCUUCUUCGGAAGGUGGACAGUGGCAGACGGGUGAGUAACACGUGGGAACCUACCUCAAAAUGGGGAAUAGCCCUCCGAAAGGAGGAGUAAUACCGCAUGUGCCCGCAAGGGUAAAGACUUCGGUCGUUUUGAGAGGGGCCCGCGCCCUAUCAGGUAGUUGGUGAGGUAAUGGCUCACCAAGCCAAUGACGGGUAGCCGAUGUGAGAGCAUGAUCGGCCACAAGGUUACUGAGACACGGAACCUACACCUACGGGUGGCAGCAACCGGGAAUAUUGCGCAAUGGACGAAAGUCUGACGCAGCGACACCGCGUGUGGGAAGAAGCUUUUCGGAGUGUAAACCACUGUGGCAGGGGAAGAAAUUUUGACGGUACCCUGCUAGAAAGCACCUGCUAACUACGUGCCAGAAGCCUCGGUAAUACGUAGGGUGCAAGCGUUAUCCGGAUUUAUUGGGCGUAAAGCGUCCGUCGGCGAUUUGAUAAGUCUCUUGUUUAAGGCCAGGGCUCAACUCUGGAAGAGCAAGAGAAACUAUUAAACUUGAGUAUGUGAGAGGUAGCUGGAAUUCUCGGUGGAGGGGUGAAAUCCGUAGAUAUCGAGAGGAACGCCGCGCGCGAAAGCAGGCUACUGGAACAUUACUGACGCUCAGGGACGAAAGCUAGGGUAGCAAAAGGGAUUAGAGACCCCCGUAGUCCUAGCCGUAAACGUUGGAUGCUAGUUUUUUGGGUUUAAACCUAGGAAACGCAAGUUAACGCGUUAAGCAUCCCGCCUGGGGAGUACGACCGCAAGGUUAAAACUCAAAGGAAUUGACGGGGGAGCGCACAACCGGUGGAGUAUGUGGUUUAAUUGGACACAAAGCCAAAAACCUUACCUGGUCUUGACAUGUAGCUGCAGUCUUGUAGAAAUACGAGAUGUCUUCGAGAGUGCUACACAGGUGAUGCAUGGCUGUCGUCAGCUCGUGUCGUGAGACGUCCGCUUAAGUGCGGUAACGAGCGCAACCCUUGCUCAGUGUUACAAGUGUCACUGAGGACUGCCUUUGCUAUGCAAGGGAGGAAGGAGAGGACGACGUCAAGUCAGCAUGUCCCUUACGACCAGGGCAACACACAUUCUACAAUGGAAAUGACAAUGGGUAGCAACAGGGUAACCUUAAGCCAAUCCUUUAAACAUUUCCUCAGUUCGGAUUGAGGGCUGCAAUUCGCCCUCAUGAAGCCGGAAUCGGUAGUAAUCGCAAAUCAGCACGUUGCGGUGAAUACGUUCUCGCUCCUUGUACACACUGCCCGUCAAGCCAGCAAAGUCAGCAGCGCCCGAAGCGGGUGACCAGAACCAUUUAUGGACUGGCCCUUCUACGGCGAGGUUGGCGAUGAGGACUAAGUCGUAACAAGGUAACCGUA
This 1452-nucleotide ribosomal RNA is filed under the name uncultured bacterium. RNAcentral's name for it is "bacterial SSU rRNA". It matches the Rfam family "Bacterial small subunit ribosomal RNA". The record is from RNAcentral.